This 472-nucleotide ribosomal RNA is filed under the name uncultured bacterium. RNAcentral's name for it is "bacterial SSU rRNA". It matches the Rfam family "Bacterial small subunit ribosomal RNA", at positions 355 to 825 of the family's 1533-position model. The record is from RNAcentral.
UGGGGAAUAUUGGACAAUGGGCGAAAGCCUGAUCCAGCCAUGCCGCGUGUGUGAAGAAGGUCUUCGGAUUGUAAAGCACUUUAAGUUGGGAGGAAGGGCAGUUACCUAAUACGUAUCUGUUUUGACGUUACCGACAGAAUAAGCACCGGCUAACUCUGUGCCAGCAGCCGCGGUAAUACAGAGGGUGCAAACGUUGCUCGGAAUUAUUGGGCGUAAAGCGCGUGUAGGCGGCUUGUUAAGUUGGUUGUGAAAACCCAUGGCUCAACCAUGGAAGUGCGUCCAAAACUGGCAAGCUAGAGUUCUGACGAGGAUGGCGGAAUUCCCAGUGUAGAGGUGAAAUUCGUAGAUAUUGGGAGGAACACCGGUGGCGAAGGCGGCCAUCUGGGAAGAUACUGACGCUGAGACGCGAAAGCGUGGGGAGCAAACAGGAUUAGAUACCCUAGUAGUCCCUGAGCGGGCUGGCAAGGCGCAU